RNAcentral lists this ribosomal RNA (508 nucleotides) under uncultured bacterium. RNAcentral describes it as "partial 16S ribosomal RNA". It matches the Rfam family "Bacterial small subunit ribosomal RNA", at positions 28 to 523 of the family's 1533-position model. The record is from RNAcentral.
GACGAACGCUGGCGGCGCGCUUAACACAUGCAAGUCGAGCGAGAACCAGGGCUUCGGCCCUGGGGACAGCGGCGAACGGGUGAGUAACACGUGGAUAACCUGCCCUCGGCACCGGGAUAGCCCGGGGAAACCCGGAUUAAUACCGGAUGGCCCUUCCGGCUCCCGAGCCGGUCGGAAAAGGUAGCUUCCGCCUCCUGCCGAGGAUGGGUCCGCGGCGGAUUAGCUUGUUGGCGGGGUAACGGCCCACCAAGGCGACGAUCCGUAGCUGGUCUGAGAGGACGAUCAGCCACACUGGGACUGAGACACGGCCCAGACUCCUACGGGAGGCAGCAGUGGGGAAUCUUGCGCAAUGGGCGAAAGCCUGACGCAGCGACGCCGCGUGAGGGAAGAAGGCCUUCGGGUUGUAAACCUCUUUCAGGAGGGACGAAGCUACUCGGGUGAAUAGCCCAGAGGGUGACGGUACCUCCAGAAGAAGCCCCGGCUAACUACGUGCCAGCCGCCGCCGUAA